This 254-nucleotide ribosomal RNA is filed under the name uncultured bacterium. RNAcentral's name for it is "partial 16S ribosomal RNA". It matches the Rfam family "Bacterial small subunit ribosomal RNA", at positions 524 to 776 of the family's 1533-position model. The record is from RNAcentral.
UACGUAGGGGGCAAGCGUUGUCCGGAAUUAUUGGGCGUAAAGAGCGCGUAGGCGGUCCGGUAAGUCGGCUGUGAAAGUCAAGGGCUCAACCCUUGGAAGGCGGCCGAUACUGUCGGACUAGAGUCCGGAAGAGGCGAGUGGAAUUCCUGGUGUAGCGGUGAAAUGCGUAGAUAUCAAGAGGAACACCUGAGGCGAAGGCGGGUUGCUAGGCUGAUACUGACGCUGAGUGCGCGAAAGCUAGGGUAGCAAACGGG